RNAcentral lists this ribosomal RNA (679 nucleotides) under Escherichia coli O26:H11. Its description in RNAcentral is "bacterial SSU rRNA". It matches the Rfam family "Bacterial small subunit ribosomal RNA", at positions 841 to 1520 of the family's 1533-position model. The record is from RNAcentral. Lineage: Bacteria; Pseudomonadati; Pseudomonadota; Gammaproteobacteria; Enterobacterales; Enterobacteriaceae.
GGCUUCCGGAGCUAACGCGUUAAGUCGACCGCCUGGGGAGUACGGCCGCAAGGUUAAAACUCAAAUGAAUUGACGGGGGCCCGCACAAGCGGUGGAGCAUGUGGUUUAAUUCGAUGCAACGCGAAGAACCUUACCUGGUCUUGACAUCCACAGAACUUUCCAGAGAUGGAUUGGUGCCUUCGGGAACUGUGAGACAGGUGCUGCAUGGCUGUCGUCAGCUCGUGUUGUGAAAUGUUGGGUUAAGUCCCGCAACGAGCGCAACCCUUAUCCUUUGUUGCCAGCGGUCCGGCCGGGAACUCAAAGGAGACUGCCAGUGAUAAACUGGAGAAAGGUGGGGAUGACGUCAAGUCAUCAUGGCCCUUACGACCAGGGCUACACACGUGCUACAAUGGCGCAUACAAAGAGAAGCGACCUCGCGAGAGCAAGCGGACCUCAUAAAGUGCGUCGUAGUCCGGAUUGGAGUCUGCAACUCGACUCCAUGAAGUCGGAAUCGCUAGUAAUCGUGGAUCAGAAUGCCACGGUGAAUACGUUCCCGGGCCUUGUACACACCGCCCGUCACACCAUGGGAGUGGGUUGCAAAAGAAGUAGGUAGCUUAACCUUCGGGAGGGCGCUUACCACUUUGUGAUUCAUGACUGGGGUGAAGUCGUAACAAGGUAACCGUAGGGGAACCUGCGGUUG